Larimichthys crocea (large yellow croaker) is the source of this 1327-nucleotide long non-coding RNA. RefSeq lists it as uncharacterized. Lineage: Eukaryota; Metazoa; Chordata; Actinopteri; Sciaenidae. The record is from RefSeq and is a predicted model, not a curated record. The transcript is spliced from 3 exons.
UCAACCAGCUCAAACCAGUUCCCUGGGUUGUUGUGCAUGACGACAUCUGACUGUGGGCGCUCCUCACAUGUGCUGACAGAUAUGGGAAGCUCAAGUAUCAGUCGCCCUACAGCGCGGAACUCUCAGGGCAAUCCAAUUGUUAAGGAAAAAGAUUAUUCAAGGCAAUUGUCUUGGCUGUCUUUGCUGUGUUGGCAGCGGUGUGCAAGCCCUGGACCCAGGCCUGUCCUCUCCACCCUCUUCCUGCCUUUCAUCAGCCUUAGAAACGCUGAAAGCUUUGAUGUGUGCAGACACUGUGGCAGACAGCCUCAGAGCCUGGAGGACAGUAACCAGAAAGAGAGGAAGAUACAGGGUGGAGGGGCUCCAUGUGUGCAGUGGCAUCAUCCGGAUUAGCUCAUGUUGGGAAUUCAAAAGAGACAGACUGAAAAUAAAACACAUUCCUCGACAUCAAAGAAGGAUUUCUGGAAUUUGGCACAUUUGCAGCCUCUGAUUGUCUUUGUGUGUAUGUCAUUCGCUUGGGAGCACAGUUGCAUGGUCUGAGGCCCUCUUUGUUGUUUUUGGAUGAGUCACUGUGUCGUACAUGCUUGCCCUGACUCUGGUAUGCAGUUUGCUGAGGCCUCGCAUUAACACUGCUGCGCGUGUGCGUCAGUGAUCUGUGUUGGAGGUGACCCCUGCCACCUGGAUGACACCCACAGAGGGACUAGUAUGAACACUGCCAACAUUUAAAGCAUCAUGGCAGUUCAUGAUCACACUGUGGUUUGACAGCAAUCCUUUCUGUUACUGCAGCUGCUUGUCUAUUUGCCAGAUAUGGGAUGGAUGUCGAUGAGAUUCAAUUACUUUCCUGAGAAGUACGAUAAGCCAAGGUAAACUAGUAAAACAGGGUGCACAAAAGUAUAACUAUAAGAAAUAAAAGAAGACUAAAGCAUGUCUACAUAAAACAUAAAAUAUGAGUCUAUGUCAUGUUAGCAGCUCUGUACUGAGGCACAGCAGUGGUCUGAGCUAAAUGCUGACCAGCUAACAGGCUCACAUUGACAGUUGACAUGUUCACAUAUUUUAUAGGAGAUGCAGAUGAUCCAGCCAAUAUUUGUUUCAUUUUACUAAACCACAAAUGUGAACAGGCUAGUGUUUUAAGAGGAAAGGACAGGGGAAACCAUAUUUAUUCAUCAUUUAUAUUAUAUAUAUUAAUCAUCUGCACCAGUCCUUUAUCCAAAUGUCUGUACAUAGAUAGUUGAUUUUAAACUGUACUUUUGUCCUGUAUGUACAAUUAAGAGCAAAGUGAACCAGAGUCAGAUUUCUUGUGAUUUCUUCUCUGACCAAUAAAGUGAUUCUG